Ribosomal RNA from Lepisosteus oculatus (spotted gar), 119 nucleotides. Lineage: Eukaryota; Metazoa; Chordata; Actinopteri; Semionotiformes; Lepisosteidae. The record is from Ensembl.
UACAGCAGCCAUAUCACCCUGCAACUCACAACUGGCAACCCACUGAAGCUCAGCAGGUGUGAGCCUGGUCAGUACCUGGAUGGGAGACCUCCUGGGAAAAACUAAGGUUGCUGCUGGAA